RNAcentral lists this transfer RNA (75 nucleotides) under Acidobacteriota bacterium. RNAcentral describes it as "tRNA-Val". It matches the Rfam family "tRNA". Rfam says of the family: Transfer RNA (tRNA) molecules are approximately 80 nucleotides in length. Their secondary structure includes four short double-helical elements and three loops (D, anti-codon, and T loops). Further hydrogen bonds mediate the characteristic L-shaped molecular structure. tRNAs have two regions of fundamental functional importance: the anti-codon, which is responsible for specific mRNA codon recognition, and the 3' end, to which the tRNAs corresponding amino acid is attached (by aminoacyl-tRNA synthetases). tRNAs cope with the degeneracy of the genetic code in two manners: having more than one tRNA (with a specific anti-codon) for a particular amino acid; and 'wobble' base-pairing, i.e. permitting non-standard base-pairing at the 3rd anti-codon position. Lineage: Bacteria; Pseudomonadati; Acidobacteriota. RNAcentral also lists the same sequence under 1 other name. The record is from RNAcentral.
GGGAGGUUAGCUCAGUGGGAGAGCACCUGCUUUACACGCAGGGGGUCGUGGGUUCAAAUCCCUCACCUCCCACCA